Non-coding RNA from Trichonephila clavipes, 69 nucleotides. The record is from the annotation of a GenBank genome assembly. NCBI's taxonomy places the organism in Eukaryota, Metazoa, Arthropoda, Arachnida, Araneae, Nephilidae.
GUCCCUGUAGCGCAAUGGAUAGCGUGUUGGACUUCAAAUGCAAAGGUGGGUCGAAUCCCACCUGGGAUG